Molecule: long non-coding RNA, 310 nt
Organism: Labeo rohita (rohu)
Lineage: Eukaryota; Metazoa; Chordata; Actinopteri; Cypriniformes; Cyprinidae
Exons: 2
Source: RefSeq, a predicted model, not a curated record
UUUUUUGUUCCUUCAUUUACAAGUUGUUAAUAUUUUCAACAUAACUGAUAAAUUUGAAUAUGCUUGUUUUUACCAUUUAUGAAAACUGUAGGAAGGUGGCUGCAUUUUUAGUUGUGUUUUCACUGUCUGCUCCUGUUUUGUGGCCAGUUAUGGAGUUAAAGUUUUGUUUUGUUGUUAAUUUGUUUUGUCUGAUCAGUUUAGUUAAGAUUUUACUCCUCAGACCAGUGCUUUAUAUUCCUUUAUAUUGUUGCAUCCUAUAGAAACUCCUAGACUCAUAUAGAUAUACAGAGACACUGAAAAGUUUAAACAA